RNAcentral lists this ribosomal RNA (253 nucleotides) under uncultured microorganism. Its description in RNAcentral is "partial 16S ribosomal RNA". It matches the Rfam family "Bacterial small subunit ribosomal RNA", at positions 524 to 776 of the family's 1533-position model. The record is from RNAcentral.
AACGUAGGGGGCGAGCGUUAAUCGGAUUUACUGGGCGUAAAGCGUGCGCAGGCGGCCCGUUAAGACAGGUGUGAAAUCCCUGGGCUCAACCUAGGAAUUGCGCUUGUGACUGGCGGGCUCGAGUACGGUAGAGGGGGGUGGAAUUCCUGGUGUAGCAGUGAAAUGCGUAGAGAUCAGGAGGAACACCGAUGGCGAAGGCAGCCCCCUGGGCCUGUACUGACGCUCAUGCACGAAAGCGUGGGGAGCAAACAGG